Molecule: ribosomal RNA, 548 nt
Filed under: uncultured Glomus
Lineage: Eukaryota; Fungi; Glomeromycota; Glomeromycetes; Glomerales; Glomeraceae
Description: SSU rRNA
Rfam family: Eukaryotic small subunit ribosomal RNA
Source: RNAcentral
UUGGAGGGCAAGUCUGGUGCCAGCAGCCGCGGUAAUUCCAGCUCCAAUAGCGUAUAUUAAAGUUGUUGCAGUUAAAAAGCUCGUAGUUGAACCUCGGGAUCAAUGGGUCGGUCAUGCCCUCGGUAUAUACUGACCUCAUUGGUUCUCACCUUCUAAGGAACCUUAAUGUCAUUAAUUUGAUGUUUUGGGGAAUUAGGACUGUUACCUUGAAAAAAUUAGAGUGUUUAAAGCAGGCUAACGCUUGAAUACAUUAGCAUGGAAUAAUGAAAUAGGACAUCGCAUUCUAUUUUGUUGGUUUCUAGGAUCGAUGUAAUGAUUAAUAGGGAUAGUUGGGGGCAUUAGUAUUCAAUUGUCAGAGGUGAAAUUCUUGGAUUUAUUGAAGACUAACUACUGCGAAAGCAUUUGCCAAGGAUGUUUUCAUUAAUCAAGAACGAAAGUUAGGGGAUCGAAGACGAUCAGAUACCGUCGUAGUCUUAACCAUAAACUAUGCCGACUAGGGAUCGGAUGAUGUUGAUUUUUAAUGACUCAUUCGGCGCCUUACGGGAAAC